CUUUCUCCUCCUAGAUGUUCACUCCUAAGUGCUGGAAGAUCUUUUGCUGGAACUCAGAAUGUUUCAAGUCUGCAGAAGGAUGAAGCAUGGAAAGUGAAUGUCUGCAUCCAUGGUUGCAAUCUUGAACAGGGUUAUCUAUGUGAAACGAUGGAAGCGCUUAAUGUUCCAUUAGCAGAUACACCUGUAGUGACAUUCUGGGAGGGGGAGAUAGUGGAUGCUAAAAAUUACACCUUUUUCACUAGCAAGUGGGAGGCAUCACCAGAGGAUGAUAUAAGACAUUGGUCCAAGUUCCCAUCAUUUAUGCCUCUUCUAGUAUUUGGUUACCUACCUAGCUUG
Molecule: long non-coding RNA, 336 nt
Organism: Zea mays
Lineage: Eukaryota; Viridiplantae; Streptophyta; Magnoliopsida; Poales; Poaceae
Exons: 4
Source: RefSeq, a predicted model, not a curated record